Long non-coding RNA from Alnus glutinosa, 691 nucleotides. RefSeq lists it as uncharacterized. The record is from RefSeq and is a predicted model, not a curated record. Lineage: Eukaryota; Viridiplantae; Streptophyta; Magnoliopsida; Fagales; Betulaceae. The transcript is spliced from 2 exons.
UCACAAGCUUUCAGAAAAAAGCCAUCAGCCUUUCUAAGCCUUUAGCCUUUCUAUCCUUUUGUAUCAGUACUAUCAGUACUAUUCCCUUCCCCUUCCUUGUAUCUUAAAUCUUGCCUCGCAUCAAGGCAGCUUUGUAUCAUAUCCGCUUGAAUCAAUAAUAUCAAAGCCAUCUCUGUACAGGAAAACAAAGGGAGGGCUUUACUCUUUAGAGCCAGAGUGGAGCUGAGAAGAGAUUGCCGACUGUGUGCGAGAGAUUGACGAAUGGAGCGUAGGAGAGAGGCCGGAGGUUAGAGUUAGCUGGUGGUCAAGCGGGCGAGCUUGUAGCAGUGUCCUGCGCCUCCUAGGCUUCUACUUCUUGGCUGCCAGAGGAAAUUGCAGCACAUUUUAGAGAGUGAUUUUGGUAAUUUGCUGAGAGAGAUUGUUUUGUAUUUUUUUUUUCAAAACAAAGAAAAAGUGUUAUUUGCUUCUUCUAUUGAUUUUUCUGUGCGGGAGUUAUAGAGUCUCAAAUGGAGAGAUUGCUCUCUCUCUUUUACAAACUUUUUGUGUUCCUAGGCAUCUGACGGUUGGUUUUUCUAUGUGAGGGUUCUUUAAUCUAUCGAAGGAACUGAUAAAUCACUGUAUUUAUUUUUCUUUAGCAAAAUCUUGUGUUCCUGGGCCUUACGGUUGAUUUAUCCAUGGGAUUUAGAGUUAA